AUGGCAGCUGCUGCGGCUGCUGCAGUUGCCCGGCGAGUGCGGCGAAGGCCGCUUGGUGAGGCAGCCGCCACGGCAGCCACAGCAGCGCGGGGGCGGCGGUGGGUGCUGGAGGCGCGGCAAGAGCCGGCGCCGGCCACUGUGGGGCAGCGGCGGGCGGCCGCGGCGGCUGAAGCUAGGGCUACAGCAUCCCAGCAAACGCCCCGGAGGCCCUUGGAUGCGGCAAGUACCACGGUAGGGCCGGCGGCCCGAUGGCGGCGGUCGGCGGUGGCCCGUAGGGGCUGGCCAGGUACAGCCGGAUCCCCUGGACGGCUAUGA
Molecule: ribosomal RNA, 315 nt
Filed under: Triticum aestivum (bread wheat)
Lineage: Eukaryota; Viridiplantae; Streptophyta; Magnoliopsida; Poales; Poaceae
Description: partial small subunit ribosomal RNA
Source: RNAcentral